GAUGAACGCUAGCGGCAGGCUUAAUACAUGCAAGUCGUGGGGCAGCAUGAGUAGCAAUACUUGAUGGCGACCGGCAAACGGGUGAGGAACACGUACACAACCUUCCUUCAAGCGGGGAAUAGCCCAGAGAAAUUUGGAUUAAUACCCCAUAAUAUAUUUGAUAAGGCAUCUUAUUAAUAUUAAAGCUUCGGCACUUGAUGAUGGGUGUGCGGCUGAUUAGAUAGUUGGCGGGGUAACGGCCCACCAAGUCUACGAUCAGUAGCUGAUGUGAGAGCAUGAUCAGCCACACGGGCACUGAGACACGGGCCCGACUCCUACGGGAGGCAGCAGUAAGGAAUAUUGGACAAUGGACGAAAGUACUGAUCCAGCCAUGCCGCGUGAAGGAUUAAGGUCCUCUGGAUUGUAAACUUCUUUUAUAAUGGGUACGAAAAAAGGGCAUUCUUGUUCACUUGACGGUACCAUAUGAAUAAGCACCGGCUAACUCCGUGCCAG
This 492-nucleotide ribosomal RNA is filed under the name uncultured bacterium. RNAcentral's name for it is "bacterial SSU rRNA". It matches the Rfam family "Bacterial small subunit ribosomal RNA", at positions 28 to 511 of the family's 1533-position model. The record is from RNAcentral.